RNAcentral lists this long non-coding RNA (378 nucleotides) under Junco hyemalis (dark-eyed junco). RNAcentral's name for it is "lncRNA (ENSJHYG00000005331.1)". The record is from RNAcentral. Lineage: Eukaryota; Metazoa; Chordata; Aves; Passeriformes; Passerellidae.
AAAAAAAAAAAAAAAGGAAAACAAAUGUCUUCGCUUCCUUCUCCCUCUUCCUCGGGCAGCGGGUCUCCCGCCGAGCCGCGGAGGAGGAGGGGGCUCCCUUCCCCACCUCUAACCGUGUGCGCCUUCCCUCCCCAGGCAGGGAAACUUGUGCUGGCGGGCGGCCCCGGCGCCGGUACCGGCCGAGGACUGGAGCCUCCGGAAGCAAAGUUCUGUGACACUCCGACUCUGGCUGGAGCCAGUUUUUUUGCUUGCUUUACUUCCCUGGUGGUCAAGCUGACCAGUUCUGAAGGUAAGGUGAGUAUUUCUUGGCCUCUUGGUAGCCCUCAGUUGUCCUUGCCACAUGUCUGCAGCAUGUUGUACCUCCUGUCCUACAAGUAA